RNAcentral lists this ribosomal RNA (510 nucleotides) under uncultured bacterium. Its description in RNAcentral is "bacterial SSU rRNA". It matches the Rfam family "Bacterial small subunit ribosomal RNA", at positions 501 to 1014 of the family's 1533-position model. The record is from RNAcentral.
CUACGUGCCAGCAGCCGCGGUAAUACGGAGGAUGCGAGCGUUAUUCGGAAUCAUUGGGUUUAAAGGGUCUGUAGGCGGGCUAUUAAGUCAGGGGUGAAAUCUUACAGCUUAACUGUGAAAUUGCCUUUGAUACUGGUAGUCUUGAAUAUUUGUGAAGUUUUUGGAAUGUGUAGUGUAGCGGUGAAAUGCUUAGAUAUUACACAGAACACCGAUUGCGAAGGCAGGAGACUAACAAAUGAUUGACGCUGAGAGACGAGAGCGUGGGGAGCGAACAGGAUUAGAUACCCUGGUAGUCCACGCUGUAAACGAUGGAUACUAGCUGUUUGGCGUAAGCUGAGUGGCUAAGCGAAAGUGAUAAGUAUCCCACCUGGGGAGUACGCACGCAAGUGUGAAACUCAAAGGAAUUGACGGGGGCCCGCACAAGCGGUGGAGCAUGUGGUUUAAUUCGAUGAUACGCGAGGAACCUUACCAAGGUUUAAAUGGGAACUGACAUACUUAGAGAUAGGUAUU